This 468-nucleotide ribosomal RNA is filed under the name uncultured bacterium. Its description in RNAcentral is "partial 16S ribosomal RNA". It matches the Rfam family "Bacterial small subunit ribosomal RNA", at positions 28 to 507 of the family's 1533-position model. The record is from RNAcentral.
GACGAACGCUGGCGGCGUGCUUAACACAUGCAAGUCGAACGGAAAGGCCCUGCUUUUGUGGGGUGCUCGAGUGGCGAACGGGUGAGUAACACGUGAGUAACCUGCCCUUGACUUUGGGAUAACUUCAGGAAACUGGGGCUAAUACCGGAUAGGAGCUCCUGCUGCAUGGUGGGGGUUGGAAAGUUUCGGCGGUUGGGGAUGGACUCGCGGCUUAUCAGCUUGUUGGUGGGGUAGUGGCUUACCAAGGCUUUGACGGGUAGCCGGCCUGGGAGGGUGACCGGCCACGUUGGGACUGGGAUACGGCCCAGACUCCUACGGGAGGCAGCAGUGGGGAAUAUUGCACAAUGGGCGGAAGCCUGAUGCAGCAACGCCGCGUGCGGGAUGACGGCCUUCGGGUUGUAAACCGCUUUCGCCUGUGACGAAGCGUGAGUGACGGUAAUGGGUAAAGAAGCACCGGCUAACUACGUG